Molecule: ribosomal RNA, 468 nt
Filed under: uncultured bacterium
Lineage: Bacteria
Description: partial 16S ribosomal RNA
Rfam family: Bacterial small subunit ribosomal RNA
Source: RNAcentral
GGCGAACGCUGGCGGCGGGCUUAACACAUGCAAGUCGAACGGAAAGGCCCUGCUUUUUUGGGGUUCUCGAGUGGCGAACGGGUGAGUAACACGUGAGUAACCUGCCCUUUGCUUUGGGAUAACUUCAGGAAACUUGGGCUAAUACCGGAUAGGAGCUCCUGCUGCACGGUGGGGGUUGGAAAGUUUCGGCGGGUGGGGAUGGACUCGCGGCUUAUCAGCUUGUUGGUGGGGUAGUGGCUUACCAAGGCUUUGACGGGUAGCCGGCCUGAGGGGGUGACCGGCCACAUUGGGACUGAGAGACGGCACAGACGCCUACGGGAGGCAGCAGUGGGGAAUAUUGCACAAUGGGCGGAAGCCUGAUGCAGCAACGCCGCGUGCGGGAUGACGGCCUUCGGGUUGUAAACCGCUUUCGCCUGUGACGAAGCGUGAGUGACGGUAAUGGGUAAAGAAGCACCGGCUAACUACGUG